AGUAGAGUGCCCAUGCGUUGCCACGGGCUCUUGAAAUAGUAUGCAAGUGUUACAUGUUAAAAUUCACAUGUACAAAAAAUAUAACACAAACACAAUUAUUGAAUAAUUGAAGUCUAUUUUUGCAAUGUAAAUUGAUAACAAAAAGAAAGAUUAACGACAUGUCCAUGUAACAAACUGAGUGAUGUUUCAACUAAACAUCUUUUACAAAACUAUCAAUAUCUAGAUGAUGCGCUUAAGAAAUUCUUUCACAAUGUCAGGAAAAUUGCCUUUAGCUUCAUUUCCCACGAUGUUUUAGCAAGUAUGAUAAAAACCGCUUCCUCAAAUCAUACCCAUCCUGCACAAACAAUAUAUGUAGUUAGUAUGAAAAUUUCACGCCUUAGGUCUCAAAACAUGUAACGGAUGCGUUGCCACUGGCAUUUCAAAAAAAAUACUGGUUGCAUAUAUAAUCAUAAGGCAUGUCAAUUUUCCAGCUUGGCAUAGAAAGUGAGUCUAAAAUAGUUGCUUAGUUAUUCUGAUAAUCUUGCUUAUACAAUUAUGAUAGUUACGAUAAUCACCUAGGAGUUUCAAUUUUUGAAAGGAAAAAACAACAACAAUCAUUAGGCCCUUAAGAAAUCACGACAUGAGUUCUGAAUCUGACCAGCUACAAGAUAUAUCCUUCCUAAUAUUCAGAUCUAGUGGGAAAAACUACUACCCAACAAUAUACAUACAAUAUAAACUACUACUCAAAUUUGCACUAACAGAAUAGCCAGCUUCUUGAUUUGAGCUCCACGGAGUUUGCUCGUUCGGCUCAACUUCACUGCGGAGUUAAUGGAAGUUGAGAGCCGGAGCAUUGCCGAACAGGCCCUUAGUACAAACUGUUGCCAAACUUGAGAGCAUCAGAGUCAUAAGGUUCAUAACUGAAAGUCAAUAUAACAUGUUAGUUGCAACCUUAUUUGGUUUCACCAUAUCUGAACAUACACAUGCACUUGCUCUCUUUUUGCACCAUGGCACAAAAUUUGUGAUACAAGCAAAAGGAGUUCGCUUCCAUGGUUUUGUUCUGGCGCCAUUCUCAAUGCGCCGUUCAUUCACACGCAAUGGAAUUAUCUAUACCAUUAUAUAUGUACAGGAUGCAUAAUGAAGUAUAAGCAUAAUCUUUCUUUUUGUUAAAAACAUUGGCUUUGUGUACAUAGAUUAAUAAAACAUAUAUCCUAUAAACUCACAUAUGCUUCAAAUUUGUUUCAUAUAAAUUUAAUAAUUUGAUGCAACAAUUCAAUAAUGAGUCAUUCUAACAGAACUUUGAACUUUUAUCGUGUUUGACAAAAUAUCUCAUAGUUUUCUGUACUUUUAAUAGUGUUUCAUUGUGUUUUAGAAUUUGAUUUUUUUAGAACAUGCUGAGACACAUUCAGAAGUGGUGUUGUUUUGAAGUUCUCCUCGUCAUAAUCACAAUAUGCAAACGGAUCAUAAAUUGUACUUUUGGUUUGAAAGAUAAAAUCGUCUUAAAGUUGGAAAUAAAAUAACAAAGAAUGGGAUGGUGGAGCUUGCAUGUGGUCAGAGAAAGAUCUCACAAACUACAAACGGUAUUAAUGCGAAAAGGAUUAAGAAGAUCAAAACCAGCCGAAUAAGAAGAAUAGUAAUACAAAGAGCACCUAGGGGACUCACAUGUGCCUUAUGGCAUGUUCGUUCCCUCACAUCAUAUAUCCCACAUGCUAAAAGUAAUGGAAGUUAACACAAGCAGAUAUAGAAGACAAUGGUCGUUGCAGUUCCUGCCUCAUAUGUGGUUGUCUUGCUGAGAUUUAAAUAAUAUAAGAGGGGAUUAACAAAAUACCUGCAUACUAUAGGGAUUCUCCUCACGGACAUGGAGGAAAGGGGCAUCAGGCACAAGCGCCUUGUGCGGUUCUAGAUAUGGUAGGAUAUCUUCACCCAUAGACGUUGAUAUGUGUACAACCUUCUGCUGCCUCAAAAGCACACGAUGCACAACAUCGAAACAUCCGAACUCUGAAACAAAUCAGAGCAUGCCACAGGAUCCUCGGACAGGGUCAGACACAAAUAAUGUUGUAGGCACGGAAUUUUCCUCAUCCAUAUCUACACAUAACGCAGCAUGUGCACAAAACAACUCACAGUGGGAUAAAAUUUUUGGCUGCAAGUGUUCAGAUAAAAGGCAAAAGAUGCAGUACCUCAGACCAUCCACUAUUUUUAAAGAUUAUAAAACAUCUUCGAGGCAUUCCUCCAACUUAUCCUUAAAUCAUUUCCACCAUCGAAAUUGAAAAUAACUGCAGAACUCAAUAGAUAUAUACUCCAUGUAUAGCUCAACAUGCCCUGCACAGUUCCAUAUGUGUGCUCUCAAGACAACAGGAAAAUAAAAACAUGUCCAUGGAGUUGGAUAGUCAAAGAUACAUAAUAAACCAAAAAGAAUCAGUAGCAAAUCAUGACUAAUGCAGAUGGCCAAGCUAAUUGGGAACGGUUCAUCACAUGGACAAACAUUAAUACAACAUGGAGAGAGAUAAAUUUUCACAAUGAAUCUCUGUGUGCUCAGAUGGCAAAC
Molecule: long non-coding RNA, 2521 nt
Filed under: Triticum aestivum (bread wheat)
Lineage: Eukaryota; Viridiplantae; Streptophyta; Magnoliopsida; Poales; Poaceae
Description: long non-coding RNA (TAES_LNC009362)
Source: RNAcentral